RNAcentral lists this transfer RNA (66 nucleotides) under Trichopria drosophilae. RNAcentral's name for it is "tRNA-Ala". The record is from RNAcentral. Lineage: Eukaryota; Metazoa; Arthropoda; Insecta; Hymenoptera; Diapriidae.
AGGAAUUUAGUUAAAAUAAUAAUAUUUAUAUUGCAUUUAAAAGUUAAUUAUUAAAAUUAAUUCUAA